GGAGACUAGUGGUCUAUCAUUACAUCUGUCUGAUCAGUGAUCAAUGUUAUCAUAUAUUUACUUGAUUAACCUCUAUAUGAAUUACACCAAAUUGUACUGCAAUAGUAUCCUAUCCUCAUUAAGAUUCUUCAUCUUGUAACAAAGGGUGAAAGUCAACAAGAGUCUUAAGUUGCUGGAUGAGGAUACGUUUUCAAAAUUUUUAUUAGGAUGUCCGUCCUUGGAUUAUUGCACAUUAUUAGUAGACUCUGCUAUUAUUUCUGAUCCCAAUACUUAAGUUUGAGAAAGCCACUACCUUUUCGCCACCAGUCCUCCCUUGUUUCC
Molecule: unclassified non-coding RNA, 321 nt
Filed under: Hevea brasiliensis (rubber tree)
Lineage: Eukaryota; Viridiplantae; Streptophyta; Magnoliopsida; Malpighiales; Euphorbiaceae
Source: RNAcentral